GACGUAGGGCGCGAGCGUUGUCCGGAAUUAUUGGGCGUAAAGAGCUCGUAGGCGGCUUGUCGCGUCGACCGUGAAAACUCGCAGCUCAACUGCGAGCCUGCGGUCGAUACGGGCAGGCUAGAGUUCGGUAGGGGAGACUGGAAUUCCUGGUGUAGCGGUGAAAUGCGCAGAUAUCAGGAGGAACACCGAUGGCGAAGGCAGGUCUCUGGGCCGAUACUGACGCUGAGGAGCGAAAGCGUGGGGAGCGAACAGG
RNAcentral lists this ribosomal RNA (253 nucleotides) under uncultured bacterium. RNAcentral describes it as "partial 16S ribosomal RNA". It matches the Rfam family "Bacterial small subunit ribosomal RNA", at positions 524 to 776 of the family's 1533-position model. The record is from RNAcentral.